Molecule: transfer RNA, 336 nt
Filed under: Paenibacillus larvae
Lineage: Bacteria; Bacillati; Bacillota; Bacilli; Caryophanales; Paenibacillaceae
Description: 16S-23S ribosomal RNA intergenic spacer
Rfam family: tRNA (bases 63-135)
Source: RNAcentral
CUAUGGAGUACAGAAAUGUACAAGAAGGCUUUACUCACUCGUUGUCAGUUUUGAUGGAGUUUGGGGCCAUAGCUCAGCUGGGAGAGCGCCUGCCUUGCAAGCAGGAGGUCAGCGGUUCGAUCCCGCUUGGCUCCACCAUCUACGGUGUUUUGUUUACACAAAACGCACUUGUACCUUGAAAACUAGAUAGCGAAACAAAGCGAGAACUUAGAACAUCCUUAGUAUAAAGCGAAGUGUUUCGUUUGAAGUGAGCGACUUUGCAGAUGAAUGUUCACCUUACGUGUGAUUGAAAACAUUCAGGUGCAGCGAAAGCCCUUCAAAGAAAUACAAAGCAUA